AAGAACCGAAUCGAUACCGUAAGACACUUCAGAUCUUCAAGGGAGAUAAGGCCUUGAGGUGGCAGGUCAUCAUUCUUUGAGGAUGGUUGAGAAAUCGGAAGAAAGAAUUUGUUUCUGAAGUAACAGAGAGGCUUUCAGAGCCAUAUAUGUUGAACAGGGCCAGCAGAUAGGAAGAAGCUGGGUGCCAUGUGAAGAGUGAGGACAGCCUGGAUGCCACUGAGCUGCUGACAACAAAGACCUUCAAAGAGUUUGUCCUUUCAAUUUCACUCCCAACUGGAACACAGCCCCUGUCUUAAUUUCCCAAAGCAAGGCCUAGCUAUAACUUUACACCAAAGACAUGUGGCCUACGGAAUGGAAACACAUGAGGAAAACCAGCCACUGGGAAAGAGGGCUUCAGGAAUUCACUGCCGCACCUUUCCCAAAGAGGUGGAUGAGAGGCUGGAGAAGAUAUCCCACCCCCAAGUUCCUCAAAGCCUGCGUGAAGCAGAGAGAAGAUACACGUUUCAUAUGCUGAGGUUUGGGGAUGCUGAAGAUUGAGCCAGUGGCCUGGCAGGGGUCACUGCAACGGGAUAACCUAGAACUGAAAGCUGGGUGGCAGAGGGACAUCAGCCUCCCCAAGGACUGAGGUGAGGCAAGUCAAGGGCAUAGUGGAGGGAUGGAGUUGGGAUGGAGGUUCAGGGAUGGGGGAUAGAAGGGACACCCUCAAGUCCUUUACAGUGUUUGCCAAGAGCAGAGACCAGAAGUCACACUGGCCAGACACUAAAAGGUCACAUGCAGUGAGGAUGGGCCAACAAGACGCCCCUCACCUAUGGUCAGGGGGAGCCAGUGAGGAAGGACCAGCAGCCUGAGUCCUGCCUCCAGUGCUGUUAUGUUCUGGAAACUACCAGCGAUUCCGAGAAGGGACAGAAAGGAAGACAUCUCAAGAAAUGAGGACAGAGUUCAAACUUUGAAAUAAUAAAGUAGUAAACCAACUCUGGAUAUUUAUCAAAAUGGACUCAAUUUGUUUUAUACUGUAACUAAACUACCUGUAACUGGCAAGA
Long non-coding RNA from Hipposideros armiger (great roundleaf bat), 1040 nucleotides. RefSeq lists it as uncharacterized. NCBI's taxonomy places the organism in Eukaryota, Metazoa, Chordata, Mammalia, Chiroptera, Hipposideridae. The transcript is spliced from 5 exons. The record is from RefSeq and is a predicted model, not a curated record.